RNAcentral lists this ribosomal RNA (494 nucleotides) under uncultured bacterium. RNAcentral describes it as "partial 16S ribosomal RNA". It matches the Rfam family "Bacterial small subunit ribosomal RNA", at positions 28 to 507 of the family's 1533-position model. The record is from RNAcentral.
GACGAACGCUGGCGGCGUGCUUAACACAUGCAAGUCGAACGGUGAAGCGCCUUCCUUUUUGGUGGGUGUGGAUGAGUGGCGAACGGGUGAGUAACACGUGAGUAACCUGCCCCCUUCUUCUGGAUAACCGCAUGAAAGUGUGGCUAAUACGGGAUAUUCUGGGUCUGUCGCAUGAUGGGUCUGGGAAAGAUAUUGUUUCGGUGGGGGAUGGGCUCGCGGCCUAUCAGCUUGUUGGUGGGGUGAUGGCCUACCAAGGCGGUGACGGGUAGCCGGCCUGAGAGGGUGGACGGUCACACUGGGACUGAGACACGGCCCAGACUCCUACGAGAGGCAGCAGUGGGGAAUAUUGCACAAUGGGCGCAAGCCUGAUGCAGCGACGCCGCGUGAGGGAUGGAGGCCUUCGGGUUGUGAACCUCUUUCGCCAGUGAAGCAGGCCUGCCUCGUUUGUGGGUGGGUUGACGGUAGCUGGAGAAGAAGCGCCGGCUAACUACGUG